Molecule: small nuclear RNA, 102 nt
Organism: Phacochoerus africanus (Common warthog)
Lineage: Eukaryota; Metazoa; Chordata; Mammalia; Artiodactyla; Suidae
Source: RefSeq, a predicted model, not a curated record
GUGCUUGAUUUGGCAACACCCAUACUAAAAUUGGAACUAUACAGAGAAGAUUCACAUGGCCUCUGUGCAAGGAUGACAUGCAAAUUCAUGAAACAUUUAUUU